GGCCUUGACAUACUAAGAACUUUCCAGAGAUGGAUUGGUGCCUUCGGGAACUUAGAUACAGGUGCUGCAUGGCUGUCGUCAGCUCGUGUCGUGAGAUGUUGGGUUAAGUCCCGCAACGAGCGCAACCCUUUUCCUUAUUUGCCAGCGGGUCAUGCCGGGAACUUUAAGGAUACUGCCAGUGACAAACUGGAGGAGGGCGGGGACGACGUCAAGUCAUCAUGGCCCUUACGGCCAGGGCUACACACGUGCUACAAUGGUCGGUACAAAGGGUUGCUACCUCGCGAGAGGAUGCUAAUCUCAAAAAGCCGAUCGUAGUCCGGAUCGCAGUCUGCAACUCGACUGCGUGAAGUCGGAAUCGCUAGUAAUCGCGGAUCAGAAUGCCGCGGUGAAUACGUUCCCGGGCCUUGUACACACCGCCCGUCACACCAUGGGAGUUUGUUGCACCAGAAGUAGGUAGUCUAACCGCAAGGAGGACGCUUACCACGGUGUGGCCGAUGACUGGGGUGAAGUCGUAACAAGGUAAGCGUAGAUGA
RNAcentral lists this ribosomal RNA (533 nucleotides) under uncultured bacterium. RNAcentral's name for it is "bacterial SSU rRNA". It matches the Rfam family "Bacterial small subunit ribosomal RNA", at positions 977 to 1509 of the family's 1533-position model. The record is from RNAcentral.